GAUGAACGCUGGCGGCGUGCUUAACACAUGCAAGUCGAACGAUGAAGCUGGAGCUUGCUCCGGUGGAUUAGUGGCGAACGGGUGAGUAACACGUGAGCAAUCUGCCCUUGACUCUGGGAUAACUGCGGGAAACUGUAGCUAAUACCGGAUACGACGCCUUGGGGCAUCCCACGGGCGUGGAAAGAAUUUCGGUCAAGGAUGAGCUCGCGGCCUAUCAGCUAGUUGGUGAGGUAAUGGCUCACCAAGGCGACGACGGGUAGCCGGCCUGAGAGGGUGACCGGCCACACUGGGACUGAGACACGGCCCAGACUCCUACGGGAGGCAGCAGUGGGGAAUAUUGCGCAAUGGGCGAAAGCCUGACGCAGCAACGCCGCGUGAGGGAU
This 383-nucleotide ribosomal RNA is filed under the name uncultured Microbacteriaceae bacterium. Its description in RNAcentral is "bacterial SSU rRNA". It matches the Rfam family "Bacterial small subunit ribosomal RNA", at positions 28 to 409 of the family's 1533-position model. Lineage: Bacteria; Bacillati; Actinomycetota; Actinomycetes; Micrococcales; Microbacteriaceae. The record is from RNAcentral.